This 254-nucleotide ribosomal RNA is filed under the name uncultured bacterium. Its description in RNAcentral is "partial 16S ribosomal RNA". It matches the Rfam family "Bacterial small subunit ribosomal RNA", at positions 338 to 589 of the family's 1533-position model. The record is from RNAcentral.
CCUACGGGACGCAGCAGUGAGGAAUAUUGGUCAAUGGUCGGGAGACUGAACCAGCCAAGCCGCGUGAGGGAUGAAGGUACAGAGCAUCGUAAACCUCUUUUGUCAGGGAACAAAAGCGGGGACGUGUCCCCGGAUGAGUGUACCUGAAGAAAAAGCAUCGGCUAACUCCGUGCCAGCAGCCGCGGUAAUACAGAGGUCUCAAGCGUUGUUCGGAAUCACUGGGCUUAAAGCGUGCGUAGGCUGGUUAGCAAGUC